UACAGAGGGUGCGAGCGUUGUUCGGAAUUACUGGGCGUAAAGGGCGCGUAGGCGGUUUAACAAGUCUGUUGUGAAAGCCCGGGGCUUAACCUCGGAAGUGCAGUGGAAACUGUUAGACUAGAGUACAGUAGAGGUUGGUGGAAUACCCAGUGUAGAGGUGAAAUUCGUAGAUAUUGGGUGGAACACCGGUGGCGAAGGCGGCCAACUGGGCUGUAACUGACGCUGAGGCGCGAAAGCGUGGGGAUCAAACAGG
RNAcentral lists this ribosomal RNA (253 nucleotides) under uncultured bacterium. RNAcentral describes it as "partial 16S ribosomal RNA". It matches the Rfam family "Bacterial small subunit ribosomal RNA", at positions 524 to 776 of the family's 1533-position model. The record is from RNAcentral.